GCACUGGGAUAGCCUCGGGAAACCGAGGUUAAUACCCGGAUACUCCAUAUUUGUCGCAUGGCGAAUAUGGGAAAGCUCCGGCGGCAAAGGAUGGGCCCGCGGCCUGUUAGCUAGUUGGUGGGGUAGUGGCCUACCAAGGCAAUGAUGGGUAGCCGGGUUGAGAGACCGACCGGCCAGAUUGGGGCUGAGACACGGCCCAGACUCCUACGGGAGGCAGCAGCA
This 222-nucleotide ribosomal RNA is filed under the name uncultured Atopobium sp. RNAcentral's name for it is "partial 16S ribosomal RNA". It matches the Rfam family "Bacterial small subunit ribosomal RNA", at positions 135 to 355 of the family's 1533-position model. Lineage: Bacteria; Bacillati; Actinomycetota; Coriobacteriia; Coriobacteriales; Atopobiaceae. The record is from RNAcentral.